CAAUAGCGUAUAUUAAAGUUGUUGCAGUUAAAAAGCUCGUAGUUGGACUUGUGGCGUACGGUGUGUUCCGGGCACUUGUUGUCUGAGUAACCUGCUGUUGCCAUCCUUGGGUGGAACCUGUGUGGCAUUAGGUUGUCGUGCAGGGGAUGCCCAUCAUUUACUGUGAAAAAAUUAGAGUGUUCAAAGCAGGCUUAUGCCGUUGAAUAUAUUAGCAUGGAAUAAUGAGAUAGGACUUUCUUGCUAUUUUGUUGGUUUGCGCAAAGAGGUAAUGAUUAAUAGGGACAGUUGGGGGUAUUCGUAUUCCAUUGUCAGAGGUGAAAUUCUUGGAUUUUUGGAAGACGAACUACUGCGAAAGCAUUUACCAAGGAUGUUUUCAUUAA
This 380-nucleotide ribosomal RNA is filed under the name uncultured eukaryote. RNAcentral's name for it is "partial 18S ribosomal RNA". It matches the Rfam family "Eukaryotic small subunit ribosomal RNA", at positions 592 to 976 of the family's 1831-position model. The record is from RNAcentral.